GAUGAACGCUGGCGGCGUGCCUAAUACAUGCAAGUCGAGCGAACAGACGAGGAGCUUGCUCCUCUGACGUUAGCGGCGGACGGGUGAGUAACACGUGGAUAACCUACCUAUAAGACUGGGAUAACUUCGGGAAACCGGAGCUAAUACCGGAUAAUAUAUUUAACCGCAUGGUUCAAUAGUGAAAGACGGUUUUGCUGUCACUUAUAGAUGGAUCCGCGCCGCAUUAGCUAGUUGGUAAGGUAACGGCUUACCAAGGCGACGAUGCGUAGCCGACCUGAGAGGGUGAUCGGCCACACUGGAACUGAGACACGGUCCAGACUCCUACGGGAGGCAGCAGUAGGGAAUCUUCCGCAAUGGGCGAAAGCCUGACGGAGCAACGCCGCGUGAGUGAUGAAGGUCUUCGGAUCGUAAAACUCUGUAAUUAGGGAAGAACAAAUGUGUAAGUAACUAUGCACGUCUUGACGGUACCUAAUCAGAAAGCCACGGCUAACUACGUG
Molecule: ribosomal RNA, 497 nt
Filed under: uncultured bacterium
Lineage: Bacteria
Description: partial 16S ribosomal RNA
Rfam family: Bacterial small subunit ribosomal RNA
Source: RNAcentral